ACGCAGCCUUGAAGACCCAGCCCCACAGUCCUGUCCAUCCUAAAGCCAUGGGUGGUCUUUUGCUCCCUGCUUUGGUCACUGCUGAGCCAUCGUGCCCUGAAGAAGCCCAAACCAGCCAAUGCUGAGAGACCACAUAGAGAGAAACCAUGCAGACAAGAGCAGAAGCUGCAACCUAUCAUCUGCAUCAACAGAUUGGAGCACAAGUGAUGUAUUCAGUGCUGCAUGCCCGUGGUUAAGACCCUCAACUAAGCUGAUAGAGGGUGUGGCUACUGCCUUCCAAGUUAGCUUUCAUCCACUCCUUACAACCUGUGUGAUUCUAGUGUACCAGAAUUCAUUGUUUAUGUACCACACCCAGUUCUCC
This is a long non-coding RNA of Mustela erminea (ermine), 361 nucleotides long. RefSeq lists it as uncharacterized. The record is from RefSeq and is a predicted model, not a curated record. The transcript has 4 exons. Lineage: Eukaryota; Metazoa; Chordata; Mammalia; Carnivora; Mustelidae.